This is a long non-coding RNA of Chinchilla lanigera (long-tailed chinchilla), 1290 nucleotides long. RefSeq lists it as uncharacterized. Lineage: Eukaryota; Metazoa; Chordata; Mammalia; Rodentia; Chinchillidae. The transcript has 3 exons. The record is from RefSeq and is a predicted model, not a curated record.
UAUUACAUAUCUAGAAAGUCAGAAGCGUUCUCUCCUUUACAGUUUACCGCUUUAAUAACCUGAGAGGGUUAUCAUGUCAUGGGAGCUGCAUAUUUUAUCUUUAUUCAAAUGGAUGCUCUAACAAGGAUUAGGCAUCAGAAGGGGAAUGACUCUCUUAUUAAGAUCUUUGCAGCCCAGGAUCCUCUUAUACCCAGCACUUGCUGAGUAGUAGUCAUUCUCAACACAGGGCCCAACUUUGUUUUCAACUAGUGGUUGUCCAAUCUGGCUAUAUAAAUGUAAGUUUACUAAAAUUUAAGUCAAAUUAAAAAUUCAGUUUCUUAGUAGCACAAGUUCAGUAACCCCCACAUCUAAUGGCUAAUGUAUGGGACAAUAUUAAUACAGAAUAUUUCCAUCCCUGGAGAAAGCUGCACUGGACAGUGCUGUUCUAGUCCUGGUUUGGCAAGUCACUGUUUUUUCAACAAAAACAGUGUUGAUGGAUAUUCUCCUUUAUAAGUUGCCAAGAAAUGUGCUGUACUCAGUAUUUUGAUUAUUUUUGUUGUUGUUUGGUUGAGGGUAAUAAUCAGAUAGUUUGGGGUGGAGGAAAUAUUUAGGUUGAGAAAAACCUCAAUAGAAUCUGAAUCCCAAGUUCCACAACAAGAUGGAUACUCAAAAAUGAACUCUAAUGUCAGGAUUUCCCACAGGUUUACUGAGGAGAAGCUAUUUAGUUUCUUCAAAUCCCAGUAAUCAUAUUCAUUGGGAAGAUAAGGAUGCUGCCUGCUAGGUUUUCGAGGAGAACUAGGGAGGGAUACUGCUAAACACUUGAUUUUACUUUCCACUAGGAAUUCUGAACAAUUGCAGAGAAAGGGUAAGAAAGAAGUCGGACAGCAACUGACUUAGAGAACUUACCAGGUCCAGAAAUGCAAGACACGAUUCUCCCUCUGUAAGAGCUCACUCAAGAUGGCUGGAGGCAGAGGAGGUAAACGCUCGUCACAGAAAGGCUCUGAUCAAACCAUCAACUCCCUUGGCCCUACCACCCACGCUGCAGGAGGCACUGUUGGCCCACUGGUACUGGUUUGGCCAUGGGUUUAUUGUGGCCAGAGAGGUGUUAGAGAAUGUGACAGAGACGAAGACGUGAAAUACUCUUGCACAGUGCACUUUCGCCUCUGCAUGCCUGUACCCAGAGUAGAUGCUGGUCAAGGAAGAUGAGAGACAAAGCAGCAGAUCUGGAUGCAGCACGCAAGCUGGGACUCUAGCUCAACUGAAUCCCACAUAGUUAAACAAAAAAUGAAUGCAUAUUGUUUAUACUACCAA